RNAcentral lists this ribosomal RNA (397 nucleotides) under uncultured bacterium. RNAcentral describes it as "partial 16S ribosomal RNA". It matches the Rfam family "Bacterial small subunit ribosomal RNA", at positions 523 to 918 of the family's 1533-position model. The record is from RNAcentral.
AUACGAAGGGUGCAAGCGUUGUUCGGAUUUACUGGGCGUAAAGCGUCCGUAGGUGGUUUGUUAAGUCAGGGGUGAAAUCCCGGGGCCUAACCCCGGAACUGCCUUUGAUACUGGCAGGCUGGAGCGAGAUAGAGGAAGAUGGAAUAUCUGGUGUAGGGGUGAAAUCCGUAGAUAUCAGAUAGAACACCAAUGGCGAAGGCAGUCUUCUGGAUCGUUGCUGACACUGAGGGACGAAAGCGUGGGUAGCAAACAGAAUUAGAUACUCUGGUAGUCCACGCCCUAAACGAUGCAUGCUUGUUGUUGGUUUCCUUCGGGGAAUCAGUGACGAAGCUAACGCGUUAAGCAUGCCGCCUGGGGACUACGAUCGCAAGAUUAAAACUCAAAGGAAUUGACGGGG